Sus scrofa (pig) is the source of this 1366-nucleotide long non-coding RNA. RefSeq lists it as uncharacterized. Lineage: Eukaryota; Metazoa; Chordata; Mammalia; Artiodactyla; Suidae. The record is from RefSeq and is a predicted model, not a curated record.
UAUAAAGUGUUUCUAAAAAACUUGAAAGAUUCAGUUCAAAUUCAAUAUUCACUCAGACUUCUCUAGACACUCCAACUCAUACUCAAAUAACCCCACGUAUCUCCUUGAAAUUGGAGGGCACCUUUGAUAAUAAACACCUCUUUUCUUCAACCCUGAAUUUCCUCCCAACUCCAGGGCGCAAGAGGAUAAAUUCAGUGCAGUACACAUGCAUGCAAAACAAAACGUACACCACUUACUUGCUUUACCCUGAAUUUAAGACAGCACAUGUGGCCUGCUUCAUUCUGCUUUUAAGUUCAAAGGCAUCAGGCAGGCAGAUCUCUGGUUUAGCCAGUAACUUCUUUCAAGAGCGCCUUGGUUUCCAUAGACAUGGAAAUUCUGUUUUGAAGGGAUAUGCAACUCCAUUUUUGGGUUUUCUAGAAGCACCUCACCAAGCAAACACGGAGAUCUUAGGCCCCUAGGAGCUCUUUCUUAGUCUCAGUCAAUAAAAGUGAUUCUAUCAAAGCCCAGAUGGAAACGCCAGGCAGACUUCGGCCUCGGCUGUUUAGCGUCCUGCCCAGAGUUCACGGAGUGAUUUAAAAUUCUGAGCCUGAGCUGCAGGCUGAGGGCAGCACAUUCACAUCUGUGUUGUCUUUUAGUCCAAAGUCGGCCACCUUAAGGAUGGAGGUCCAGGCCUCUAGGUGUUGAGGUUGUUCUCCGGCUUUAGGUCCCUAAAAUUUCGUUCAGGGAGGCAGUGGUGCACAUGAGCUGUAGCACGAAGCUUUCCCAGGCAGCUGGGCCUUGCCUCCAGACAGGACAGACUAAUCCGGUCUCCAUCGUCAGGUAAGUCCACGACAAAGCAGAGGUAGCAAGGCUCGCCAGUGUAACCAACAACCUUUCUCAUUUACAGCAGGUACUGCCCCCCGGCCUCACACGAGGAUAAAGCUUCACGCGAGCAUUCUUGUUCUCACUGCUCAUGCGCGGGCUGGUCAGUUGUAGUGCGCAAGUGCACAAGGUUUAGGCGGCGCCGCAUGAGGCUGUUCAGGGCCCAGAAUUCUGUCCGCGGCAGCACGCUUUGUGUUCCCCGGACGUGAUAGCAGUUGUUUUUGGCCUCUACUAAGGCGUCACUGUCUCCUUAUCCAGCUGGUACACCUGAUCUCUGCCAACAGACUGUAGUACCCACCAGUUGCCCCCUCCACCACGGCUGUGCCAGAAAAAUAAGUCGAUGCUGAUGGAGGUAAAACAAAUUAUUCAAGAUUUUCAGUGGAUAUGAGAAGACGCAAGAAUUUGGGCCCAUAAAAAUCCUAACCUGAAAUCUGAAGGCCUGUUCUAUCAAUUUUCUCAGAGCACAGAGUGUCUCACUCCUGGUCUCCAUGCUCAGCUCUGCUCA